AACUCCGAUCAAAUGGCUGAAAUUGUAAGAAGCCUGUUGGAAGGAACGAUUGUCCAAAGAUGAGGUAUUCUCCGGACACUGACUACCCCAUUUCCCAGGAUGCCAAACUGCCUAAAGAGGUUGUUUCAUGAGAAUUGGUCACUUACCUACCUGAAUUGGUCAGCAUUAUAAAUGAGCUGAAACCUGAUAUAAACACAAACAGAGACAACGAUUCAACUGCUGGUGAAUCCCAGACCCGUGGCCCAGAGACCAGCACAGACAUAUCCCAGGAGGACACACAGACUUUGAAGACUGUCACAGAUGAAGAUUCAAAUGCUGGUGUAUCCCAGACCCACGGCCCAGAGUCCACCGGAGACAUAUCCCAGGAGGACACACAGACCUUGAAGCCUGUCAUAGAUGAACACUCAACUACUGGUGUAUCCCAGACCUACAGCCCAGAGUCCACUGGAGACAUAUCCCAGGAGGACACACAGACCUUGAAGCCUGUCAUAGUUGAACAUUCAACUGCUGGUGUAUCCCAGACCCACAGCCCAGAGUCCACCGGAGACAUAUCCCAGGAAGACACACAGACUUUGAAGCCUGUCAUAGAUGAAGAUUCAAGUGCUGGUGUAUCCCAGACCCAUGGCCCAGAGUCCACCGGAGACAUAUCCCAGGAGGACACACAGACUUUCAAGCCUGUCAUAGAUGAACAUUCAACUGCUGGUGUAUCCCAGACUCAUGGCCCAGAGUCCACCAGAGACAUAUCCCAGGAGGACACACAGACUUUAAAGCCUGUCAUAGAUGAACAUUCAACUGCUGGCAUAUCCCAGACCCACAGCCCA
This 821-nucleotide long non-coding RNA is filed under the name Fukomys damarensis (Damara mole-rat). RNAcentral's name for it is "lncRNA (ENSFDAG00000025398.1)". The record is from RNAcentral. Lineage: Eukaryota; Metazoa; Chordata; Mammalia; Rodentia; Bathyergidae.